Molecule: transfer RNA, 72 nt
Filed under: Loxodonta africana (African savanna elephant)
Lineage: Eukaryota; Metazoa; Chordata; Mammalia; Proboscidea; Elephantidae
Rfam family: tRNA
About the family: Transfer RNA (tRNA) molecules are approximately 80 nucleotides in length.
Source: Rfam by way of RNAcentral
GCCCUGGUGGCGCAAUGGUUAAGCGAUCAGCCGCUAACUGAAAGGUUGGUGGUUUGAACCCACUCAAAGGCU